RNAcentral lists this long non-coding RNA (823 nucleotides) under Carica papaya (papaya). RNAcentral describes it as "long non-coding RNA (CPAP_LNC015806)". The record is from RNAcentral. Lineage: Eukaryota; Viridiplantae; Streptophyta; Magnoliopsida; Brassicales; Caricaceae.
GUGUUACUACAUGCACCAAGGGGGUGCAAAACCCAUUCACAAAAAAAAUUAGCAUUUCAAAUAGCAUAUCAAUUAAGUUACAAAAUUCUUAAAGGAAUACAAGUCUUAUUUCAAAAUCAAAGCACCAAGGGAUUGGAACCAUCUCUCUCUAAUUCUAUCAAUGCCUUCUUCCACUCCCUAAAAACUCUUCUAUUCCUCUCUUUCCAGAUAACCCAGAAAAUAGCCAAAGAAAUGAGUCCCAAAACCUUCCUCCGCCUCACAAUAUCCUUCCAAGCCCAAAUCUCAUCCUUGAUCCUACCUGCCAACACUCUUUUUUUUUUUUUGAAAUAAUACCUGCCAACACCCAAUUAUAUCCCAAAAACCCAAAAGUCGUAGACAAUAAGUUGUAUGCAAUAGGACAUUGAAGAAUAAUGUGAUCACAAAGUCUCCUCUGCGCUCUAGAAUAGACAACACCAGUUCACAAAAGUCUUUCCCCUCUUCAGAGCUUGUCUAUAAUCAAAAUUCUAGGUGGUGCAUUUAUUCUCCAAAUCUGUUUAAACAGAAAAUGUUCUUCAACGUCCACUCUCUUUAGUUAGAUAAUUAUAGCAAGACCCCAUAGUGAAUGGACCCGUAGGGCUUAGAUUCCACAGGGGUUGAUCAAGAUCCUCAUUGAGAGACACAAAAGCUAAAACAUGUAACAAUAGUAUAUACUCUUCAAUCUUCCAAUCAUUUAAAUUGUGCAUCACUUCCACAUACCAUUUCGUCCUCCCCAACCCUCCAAUAUAAGCCUCUCUUACAGUCAAGUCUUGGUCACAAGCUAUAGCAAAAAUUUGUAGGAACCUCU